RNAcentral lists this ribosomal RNA (30 nucleotides) under Alternaria sp. 6-2. Its description in RNAcentral is "partial 28S ribosomal RNA". The record is from RNAcentral. Lineage: Eukaryota; Fungi; Ascomycota; Dothideomycetes; Pleosporales; Pleosporaceae.
UUGACCUCGCUCAGAAGCAAUUAAAAACCG